This 400-nucleotide ribosomal RNA is filed under the name uncultured bacterium. Its description in RNAcentral is "bacterial SSU rRNA". It matches the Rfam family "Bacterial small subunit ribosomal RNA", at positions 28 to 417 of the family's 1533-position model. The record is from RNAcentral.
GAUGAACGCUAGCUACAGGCUUAACACAUGCAAGUCGAGGGGAAACGACAUCGAAAGCUUGCUUUUGAUGGGCGUCGACCGGCGCACGGGUGAGUAACGCGUAUCCAACCUGCCCACCACUUGGGGAUAACCUUGCGAAAGUAAGACUAAUACCCAAUGAUAUCUCUAGAAGACAUCUGAAAGAGAUUAAAGAUUCAUCGGUGAUGGAUGGGGAUGCGUCUGAUUAGCUUGUUGGCGGGGUAACGGCCCACCAAGGCAACGAUCAGUAGGGGUUCUGAGAGGAAGGUCCCCCACAUUGGAACUGAGAUACGGCCCAGACUCCUACGGGAGGCAGCAGUGGGGAAUCUUCCGCAAUGGACGAAAGUCUGACGGAGCAACGCCGCGUGAACGAUGACGGCCU